This 6439-nucleotide long non-coding RNA is filed under the name Salmo salar (Atlantic salmon). RNAcentral's name for it is "lncRNA (ENSSSAG00000118862.1)". Lineage: Eukaryota; Metazoa; Chordata; Actinopteri; Salmoniformes; Salmonidae. The record is from RNAcentral.
AAGGAAAGAACCGUACAGAAGUAAGAGUACCUGUUUGAGACAACUCCGAAGCAAGCUGUACACAGAAAACAAAAGAAAAAAUGUUGCAUCUGAAUUAUCUAAGACAGACUGGAAAAAGAUGAGAAGAAUAAUAAUCUUCCCUACAUAAAGAUUGUGCACACCACAACCAGGAGAGAAGACUCCCACUGGUUCACCAACAGUGCUCCCUCUGAGUUCAAUUGCACUUUGGUGUAGAGUAGCUUUAUCAGACAGUCUGGUUCAUGUCCAUUUACCGUUUUGAAAAAAGGGAAAAACAUGAUGCCACAUCUCGCUACAAUAAGAAUCAUAUUAUCAUACUGUACUUUGAUUUCUCCAAAGCAAAGAAAGGCUUGUCAAAAUGUACUGCACCAGACGUGCAUUCUACGACUGUCACAUGAUCACAAACACCACCUAGGAUGAAAUCUACAUUGAAGGGUUGCAGAGAUUAGAUAACAGAAGUAAAUGAAAGCAUCAUUUUUAAUUGAGUCUGUUUUGAAUGACAGAGAGCAAGUCAACAAAUGUACUGCAUUUCUCCAUCUUAGUGAGACGAGGAUGACCUCUUAGUGCAAAAUCGAAACCCAUGCCUCUUCACAUUCCCAAUUUCCAAAUUAAAAUGUACUAGUUGGCUAAACCUCUCUCUCACUCUUGAAAAGCAGUCUGAAAACUAAAGCCUCCCAAAUCAUCUAUGGUUUAAUCUACAGCCAAAACCUAACUUGAGACUUGCGACUAACUCCAAAAAAUAUGUAUUAUUAUAUAUUUUUUUAAUCUCCCAUUGACAUCAAUGCACGAUGUGCAAAAACGCAAAGUUAAGAUUGUCUAAAGUUUGGCUGUGCAUACACAAGGUUCAGUCUAAGAGGAUGUAGUCAGCAGUACAGAAGGUAAAGGAACAUCAUUUAGAGGACUGCCUUUAAAAUGCAACCAAUCCGUUGGAAAACGGCCUAUGUGUCAUCGAUAUGUGUCAGAAACAUUUAUUCUAAUGUCAAAAUUUACUACAAAGUGUAAAUAGGAUAAUUUUUGUCAUAAAGUCAGUCUGGUCUAAAACGGAGUCUGGAACAUACGUGUGUCACAACAGGUUAAUUAAUGUUGGGUUUUGAUUGGACAAUGUCCAUUUACCCACUAACAUGGGAUGAACAGCUGCGGUGAUUGCUCUCUAUCCAAUAGCAUACACAGUAAGGCAGACGUGCUCAGCAGCUCAGACUUUUAACAUAAGACAAUGCGUCUCGGAUUUUUUUACUUGAGAAAUACUGCACCAAACACCUUAGUCAGAUUUCUAAUUUUGCAACUAAAACAUCCUCGGCGAAAACGUCUAAAUUAAUUACAGAUUUCUUGAGUUAUCCUAGAUUCAUUAUGGGAUUUUGAGGAAGGGAAAUAGGCUUCUAGUGUCUAAUGGGGGACAAACAUCAUUAACCAAAUGAGGAAUCGGUCAGGAAACACACCUCCAAGACUGAAAUCUACUUUUUCUAAUGAGAAACAGAAAAACACAUGCCAAUCAGCGUGUUCAGCCUCUCUUUAAUGAUUCUAAGCCACCCAGGGACCAUUCUGCCCUGGGUGCCAUUUAAAAAAAAAAUAUUGUCGAUUUUGUUCUAAGCAGACGAUGGUAACAAUUCUCAUUUUGUCAUAUUGAGGGAGCACUGUUUGACAAGUAAAAAACCACAACAUCUAAACAAAAAGAAUAAGCAGUCAUAACAUCUUCAAGUUUAAAAUGACAGAGGAAAGAAAUAAAUCAAAUCAAUCUAUCAGAGUCAUUUUUAGUGACAGACAGAUUGAUUCUCAAACGCAUACUUGCUAUUUGGUUAAUUAGAUAUCGUAAACAUUUGUACUUUUCUGUAUGGAGGAAAAUAUUCAAGCUAGCUUAUUUGAUAGAUUCUGUACGGUUAUCAUUAACAAACAAAAACAAACAAAACAAACACUUGGACAGACAAAUCAAUUGGCUUAAAAGCCAAAUUAAAAACAAACCCAACUCAGGCACCUUAAAGGAACACUUUCUAAUGCCAUCAUUGUUCCAUGUAUAAAGGUCUGUUAUUCACCGAAGGAGUGUUUCUGAACCAUUUACAUUUGUACCUUAACUAUUGUUGUUGGCAACAUGUUUGGAUGGUAUAAAGUAUGUGUUUUCUAGUGCAUUUGGGGGGACUUUAUCCAAUGAUUAAUAAAUGCCCCGCUCUUCGAAUCAUACAUUAUUUUCAUACCAUCUCAAACACUCCCCUGGUGAAACUUUCAAACUGCCUCCUUUUGCUAAAUAAAAAACACAACCAGAAUCUCAAACUGAGAAUACAUGUUCAUGUCAAAAUAAAAAGAAUUGCCACCAUGAUCUGAAAUAAAGGAAAAUAAAAAGGUGCUUUCCCCAUCCUAUGGACAAAGCAGAUCUGUACAGGAAACUAUUUUCUGCUAAAAAAAACUCUCUUAUGAUCUUAAAAAUAUACAGGCUGUAGUCUAGAUAGCAGCUAGUCCCAGUGUUGAUCAGCUCUGUUGUCACCGCCCUUGGUAGGAUAGCAACAAUGGAGCUUUGCUGAAAGACACUGGUGUCAAGGCUACUGAUAAUCUCGACUCAGACUUGAUACAAACACAUAUGUGUGAGUUGGUUAAAUGGGGCCAAGGUUGACCAAUCAGUAUGAUAUCAUCAUGGACAACUAGAUUGAGAGCUGCAUUUUAAACAUAGAUGAGCCUGCCUCCUCUUCAUUAUAAUUAUUAUGGGUCAAUUAAAAUCAAUAGAACCACAAUCAAAAAAGAAGGAAAGCUUGCUGUUGAUUAUGAUAAAGCUCAGUUUCUGGAAACUAGAAAUCACUUGGCCCACUGAUGAAAUGCUGCUGUGGCACGUCAAUAGACGUGUUACCAUAUAAGCUCUGAUUAAGUUAGCUUCUGUUUCUGAUCCGUUUACAGCAUAAUUAAAUCAGAAUAUAUAACCCAAAACAAUAUGUCAAGAUAUAUUUCAAUAUAUUUCUUCCAAAUAUGCUUCAAACCUAAAUAUUCAUCAAACGUACUAAAUGUUAAUUACUUGUAUUCAGUAAAUGAUAUGGUAGAAGUAUGAUACCUUAUUACAGGUAUUUUGGAGCAGAGAUAAGCAAUAAUGGGUAAUUCAUCUGAUCAUUUUGGAGGGUGCUCGGACACAUGCUGUUUCACGAUAACAGGGUAAAGGACAAUUCAAAGCAACUUCUGCUCCAAGAAAAAGCACAACAAUGGUCAACUCACCCUGAUCCCUCUUCCGCAAACCAAUCUCAUUGGGCACAACCACUGAAACACGAUCACUGCACAAAUGUUAACAUUAAUGUUAAUGCAAGUGACGUUAAUGUGACUCCAUGACAUUCAUAUAGCAUUAGAGAGCUGAGGACCGACCAAUUAUACCGAUUGCAUAUGAGCUAGCUUCCCUUUCAUUUGGUUUGAAACGGGUCACCCAUUUUCAAAUGGGAAAUGGGUAGGCCUGACACAAUCAAAACCAGACACGGAACACAGUUUUAUAGUAUAUACAGUUAAACAAUUGAAUCAUGAAAAACAGCAAUAAUGGACAUUAGUCCCUCUUGCCUCAAUGUCAAUUUCAAAACAGGUUCAGAAUACAGGCUACUAUUUCUAAGUUUGUCAUGCCUCCACCCUAUGUAUUGUGUAAGGGGACACCAAAGUUUUUUUCACUUUGAUUCACAAAGAAAGUCAGAUAAAACAUCCCUGACAGGGGACGCUUAAUAAAAAAAACACUAUCAUGGCUUACUGAGCUUCACUGACAUGGUUUAGGAUUAAUUCAUACUUUUUUAGACCUAGACACACUCAAUUAAGGAGUGUGGAACAGGAAAAAGCACAUUCACAAAAUGAUGGUCCGACAGACUGUAAAUAAAUACGUCAGUAGCUGGGUAAACUGGAUCUGAAUUCACAGGGUAUUGAUGUGAAAACACAGAAAUACUGCAUGCAUUCAAUUGAGUGCUUAUGGAAUGAGAUUCGGCUUAUUAAACAAAACGCGGUGUUGGGCAACGACUGUGUAUUCACAUUUCUAUCCACUCUAGGUUUGAUUCAAUAAACUAUACAACAAACCCCAAAGGAAACUGCCUCGCUCACUGAAGAGGACCAAGCAAUAGCCACAAAAAAGAACAAAAGAGAAGCAUAACUUAACAAACAACCCAUAACUCGCACCACACACACACACACACACACACACACACACACACACACACACACACACACACACACACACUAAAGGAAAGACGAUAACUAUGCUCAUUUGCCAGUUCUCUUCGAGGGUGACAUUAGUUGCCUGGCUACUCAGACUCCUUGCUCCAGCCAAACGCUAUGCCACACCCCCGGACGUUAGUUUCUUACGCAAUACCUCCCCGACCCGUCACCGAAUGCAAAUAUAUUCGGGGCCACCUGAUUGGUCCAGAAACCGAUGGGUUGGGCCAGAGCCAGAACACAAGUGGGUAAAGCGGCGGUUUGAAAAUUCGUCAUUGGCUUUGACACUAAUUGGUUAGAGACAAUCCAAUCGCUGAUUACUUUAUUUUGCACAACGCCCCUCCUCACCACAAAUGACUUCAAUGAUGGUAGUCUCGGACUAAAGUAUGUAGCGAACGACAGGGAAGCGGAAGAAUUUAGUGCGGGUCGUCAGGCUAUGACAUUGGCAAAUGCUUUUUAAACAAAGACUACAGUACACUGUGGCUCUGUCUACAGGAGAGAAGCUCUUCUGACAAAAAGACAAGAGCUAAGUAACACAGACAGAGAAGGCACUUCUUAACUUUGUGAUUCAUACUCUUUUAUAUCCCUCUCAAGGCACCCAACUAAUGUCACUCUGAGUUUAAUUCUUGUCUAGUCUUUUGGCCAAGAACUGUGCAAAGCACCAUUAAACAGUACCAAUGUAUUUAUCCUUAACAUAAUUUUUUGUCUCCAACCAACAUUUGUACCAUCUAAUUUCCCAUAACUAAUUAACCAAUCCAAUUGCAUGACUGUUCAAUUGCAAUAUUUACGCAUCAUACUUAAUCUGUAUUACCAAAAGAGCGAAUCACACUUUGAGCAAAUUAUCAUGUUUAGAACUGCCCAAAAAGGAGUGGCCAUCAUUCUACAAAUGUUCCCUCUUUCUCAACGAAUCUAAAUGCAGCAUUUAAAUCAAGUCACCAAAUUUAAAUCCUCGAUAUCCUCAGUUUCAUUACAUGAUGUUUCUUUAAAGGGAAAAUCCAUUCAAUAAAAUUGAUUCGAUUUUUUUCUGUUGAUACAGUCCUAAAAAAUACCAAAGAUAGUUUGAGUGGAUUUUCCCUUUAAGUCAAGAAUCAACCUUCAAAUUUUGGCUGAAGUGUAUUCACACAAACAAAGUCUAUGCUAUGGAAAAGGAAUAGAAGCAUUGGCAAAGUAAGUCCCUGAAGCCACAUAACAAAAGUACUGCUCAGUACCCGUGGAGGGAUUCACUCGACAGUGAGUGUGUCUGUAAAUCUCCAUGUAUUCUUAUUCACUUACUAUUGUUUGUGCAUUAUACUGGUCUACGACAUGAGACGUACACACUUAAAACAGCACGAGUACUAGGGCUAGUGUCUAGGUACUAUCCAAAAGAAGGAUUUACAUGCAUUCCGUACUUAUAGAAAAUCUCUCGAACCUCCGUGGUCAUGCUCAAAACGGAUCAGAUAUUUUUUUGCUACAUGAAAGACAUCCUUCAUUUGGCUCAAGUUUAGCUGGAUACUGUGCAUCCUCCAGCAGUUUCCCCUGCGGGGGGACACAGUUGGAAAGGAAAGCAUUCAAUACUUUCUGUUUGCAUGGUUAUGUACAGCAAAUACAGCUUUUAGACUGACAGUCACACUGCCUGUUACUGUCUGUAGAUAUAUGGGUCAUAUAACAGCUUUCUACAAUAAUCUGUUUGUUUCUUAUGUACAACAAUGUUCUACAGCUCUGUGAAUCAAGCUUGUGUCAAAUAAAAACAACAGUCAAGCUCAAAGAGGAAGUACUGUGAGUCGUAGUAACGCUGUGACAAAAGCAAAUGCUUGUGAGAAUAACAUUGUACUAGACAGGCUUCCUAGAGACUAAUCCAUACAGUACCGAGAGUUAAGAUCCAAUAGAUUGAUGCUCUGUGAGUAUAUUCAUGUAGAAAUAAAAACACCAAGAAUACUAACAGUAAUACCAUAGUCAAUUAUGGCUACAGGCUAUAGUAUAAAAGAAAGCACUAGAAGCAGAAACAGAAAUGUAGAAACGAGCAUGGAGAGAUUUCUCCACUAGCCAUGAUUAAACGAAAAAGGGAAACUUCAAUCCCUUUAGAAACUGUAUUCAUCAAUACACUAUAUAUUUGAUCUAUUGUGAAUAUCAUCUAUAUAUUCACAAUACACCAAAUAUAUCACAUCUCUUUUCAUAAAGAAUUUAUAUCUUACAACAAACUGGAGGAGAGCCCACGGCAGUUUCAUGGAAAUUGGACUUAAAAAACAAUAUCUAUAUAUAUAUAUAUAUUUCUAAAGCUGUAGUUUGCUCUCCC